AAUAAGAGGAUGUAUUAUUAAACUAAAGCAUGGACUACUAAGUUAAAGCAAGUAGCACACAAGCAAACCUAGAACUAAACAUGCUAGAAAUAACACUAUCAUGCUUGUAAUCAUGCAUAGGAAUCAAUUAAAUGUGUGAGCAAGUUCAAAUGAACCUAAGCAUGAACUAAACUAGCAAGUAUGAUGCUAAACUAAGCAAGCAUGAAGUUAAGCAAAUAUCAUGCUAUGAAGCUAAGCUAAUCAUGCUACUCACCUAAACUAAGCCAGUAUCAUGCUAUGCAAAACCUACUAUCUAAUCAUGCGUCAAGACAAAGCACCCUAACAUACAUCUAGUGAUGG
This 339-nucleotide long non-coding RNA is filed under the name Elaeis guineensis (African oil palm). Its description in RNAcentral is "long non-coding RNA (EGUI_LNC048048)". Lineage: Eukaryota; Viridiplantae; Streptophyta; Magnoliopsida; Arecales; Arecaceae. The record is from RNAcentral.